GGAGAGAUGGCCGAGUGGUUGAAGGCGCACGCCUGGAACGCGUGUAGGGUGUAACAGCCCUCGUGGGUUCGAAUCCCACUCUCUCCGCCA
Molecule: transfer RNA, 90 nt
Filed under: bacterium
Lineage: Bacteria
Also listed under: 1 other name
Description: tRNA-Ser
Rfam family: tRNA
About the family: Transfer RNA (tRNA) molecules are approximately 80 nucleotides in length. Their secondary structure includes four short double-helical elements and three loops (D, anti-codon, and T loops).
Source: RNAcentral